CCAUGGACUUUCACUCUGGUCCCAUGGCUAUAGCUGGAUGAUGUGUUUCUACCUCCAAUCAAGCAUCCAGAGGUGGUUGUGGGGUAGAGGAGCAAAUAAUGGGAUUCUAUAAAUAAUAGACUGGGUCUUCAGACAAGAAAGCAUCCAUGCCCGAUACAGAAUGGAAUGGGUCAAGACCCGUUUGGGGCUCAGUCGGAAGAGCAGCAGACUGAUGUGCAAUGGGCUCCCACAUGAAAACCACUCUGGUUAAAGAACCCCUCUGUCUAUGUUAUACAUCGACAUAUGAAGUGAAUGAUCUUUACCUGUCUAUUGAAAUCAAAAUAGGUAUACCCAGAGUGUGGGGCAAAAC
Cynocephalus volans (Philippine flying lemur) is the source of this 349-nucleotide long non-coding RNA. RefSeq lists it as uncharacterized. The record is from RefSeq and is a predicted model, not a curated record. NCBI's taxonomy places the organism in Eukaryota, Metazoa, Chordata, Mammalia, Dermoptera, Cynocephalidae. The transcript has 3 exons.